UACGUAGGGGGCGAGCGUUGUCCGGAUUUAUUGGGCGUAAAGAGCGUGUAGGCGGCCAGGUAGGUCUGCUGUGAAAACUCGAGGCUCAACCUCGAGACGUCGGCGGAAACCAUCUGGCUAGAGUCCAGAAGAGGAGAGUGGAAUUCCACGUGUAGCGGUGAAAUGCGUAGAGAUGUGGAGGAACACCAGUGGCGAAGGCGGCUCUCUGGUCUGUAACUGACGCUGAGGCACGAUAGCGUGGGGAUCAAACAGG
RNAcentral lists this ribosomal RNA (253 nucleotides) under uncultured bacterium. Its description in RNAcentral is "partial 16S ribosomal RNA". It matches the Rfam family "Bacterial small subunit ribosomal RNA", at positions 524 to 776 of the family's 1533-position model. The record is from RNAcentral.